UACAGAGGUCCCGAGCGUUGUUCGGAUUCACUGGGCGUAAAGGGUGCGUAGGUGGCAUGGCAAGUUUGAUGUGAAAGCUCAGGGCUUAACCCUGAAAUGGCAUUGAAUACUGCUGUGCUGGAGGUUUGGAGGGGGGACUGGAAUUCUCGGUGUAGCAGUGAAAUGCGUAGAUAUCGAGAGGAACACCAGUGGCGAAGGCGAGUCCCUGGACAACACCUGACACUGAGGCACGAAAGCUAGGGGAGCAAACAGG
RNAcentral lists this ribosomal RNA (253 nucleotides) under uncultured prokaryote. RNAcentral's name for it is "partial 16S ribosomal RNA". It matches the Rfam family "Bacterial small subunit ribosomal RNA", at positions 524 to 776 of the family's 1533-position model. The record is from RNAcentral.